UUAGGUCGACCCGCUGAAUUUAAGCAUAUCACUAAGCGGAGGAAAAGAAACUAACAAGGAUUCCCUUAGUAACGGCGAGUGAACAGGGAGAAGCCCAGCACCGAAGCCUGUGGUCGUUUGAUCACUAGGCAAUGUGGUGUUUAGGUCAAAUCUGGGAAGUGCUGCUCCUCUCCAAGUCCGACAAUGAGUACGGUAUUUUGGACAUGGCCCAGAGAGGGUGACAGGCCCGUGGGAGAGGAGGUCAGGGUUGACAGUACUUCCUGCGAUAGACCUUGGAGUCGGGUUGUUUGUGAAUGCAGCCCAAAGUGGGUGGUAAACUCCAUCCAAGGCUAAAUACUAACACGAGUCCGAUAGCGAACAAGUACCAUGAGGGAAAGUUGAAAAGUACUUUGAAGAGAGAGUAAACAGUGCGUGAAGCCGCUCAGAGGUAAACGGGUGGAGUUGAACUGCGUGCUUUGAGAAUUCAGCUGGUGAUUGUAUCAUGAUCUUGGUUAUUUUGGUUGUCCGACGGGGUCUGCUUAGCUGCAGGUUUUUGCCUUCGGGUGAGAAUGCGCGAUUCACUUAUCAAGUGAUGCGCGCCCUGUUUGUUCUUCGGAUCAGUUGCCAGUGCACUUUCUCAGAGUGAUCACUACGACCGGCACUGCUGUCUGUCUGUUGUGGUUAAACCGAUCAAGCUUGUCCUUGUGGCUGUUUGGUUGGGACGGCAGGUGGCUCGUUAGCUCGCUUGUGGUUUACUGCAGGUACAUGGCUUUCGGGUGUAAUCAGCUGACCAUGAUGGUUCUGUGCAGUGUGUCGGAGACGUCGGCUUGUGGUGUGUGCGUGUACGGUGGUACGGUGGUUUUUCCGGGUUUGGUUGCCAUGUCGCUCCAUGUGAGCCUGGUGAUAGCUCGGGAGAUUUCAUUGUAUUGCUGUGCGUGUGACAUCGUUACAGGGCCAACAGUCUGUGGUGUUGUGGUAGACCUUCCACCUGACCCGUCUUGAAACACGGACCAAGGAGAGUAACAUGUACGCGAGUCAUUGGGCGUAACGAAACCCAGAGGCGCAGUGAAAGUAAAUGUUGGGCUUGUCCUGACUGAGGUGAGAUCUCGUCGUUUCCCAUGCAUGGUAUCACCAAGUUAAGAGCGGCGAGCGCAUCACCGGCCCGUCCCAUGACGUAGUUGGGGUCUUUGACCACGCAUCGUCGGGGCGGAGCAUGAGCGUACAUGUUGAGACCCGAAAAAUGGUGAACUAUGCUUGCGCAGGUUNAAGCCNUAGGUAGNCCCGNUGNANUUNAGCAGCGAUUCUGACGUGCAAAUCGAUCGUCAAACGUGAGUAUAGGGGCGAAAGACUAAUCGAACC
RNAcentral lists this ribosomal RNA (1338 nucleotides) under Ancylocoelium typicum. RNAcentral's name for it is "eukaryotic LSU rRNA". It matches the Rfam family "Eukaryotic large subunit ribosomal RNA", at positions 16 to 941 of the family's 3401-position model. Lineage: Eukaryota; Metazoa; Platyhelminthes; Trematoda; Plagiorchiida; Monorchiidae. The record is from RNAcentral.